UGAAGGACUGCUUGUUGGAAGAGAGAGAGAGAGGAGUAUUGAGGGGGUUGAAGGACUGCUUGUUGGAAGAGAGAGAGAGAGAGAGAGAGAGGGGAGUAUUGAGGGGGUUGAAGGACUGCUUGUUGGAAGAGAGAGAGAGAGGAGUAUUGAGGGGGUUGAAGGACUGCUUGUUGGAAGGGAGAGAGAGAGAGAGAGGGAGGAGUAUUGAGGGGGUUGAAGGGCUGCUUGUUGGAAGAGAGAGAGAGAGAGGAAGGAGUAUUGAGGGGGUUGAAGGACUGCUUGUUUGCAGAGAGAGAGAGAGAGAGAGAGAGAGAG
This 315-nucleotide long non-coding RNA is filed under the name Salmo salar (Atlantic salmon). Its description in RNAcentral is "lncRNA (ENSSSAG00000094652.1)". Lineage: Eukaryota; Metazoa; Chordata; Actinopteri; Salmoniformes; Salmonidae. The record is from RNAcentral.